This 741-nucleotide ribosomal RNA is filed under the name Staphylococcus aureus. RNAcentral's name for it is "partial 23S ribosomal RNA". It matches the Rfam family "Bacterial large subunit ribosomal RNA", at positions 557 to 1304 of the family's 2925-position model. The record is from RNAcentral. Lineage: Bacteria; Bacillati; Bacillota; Bacilli; Caryophanales; Staphylococcaceae.
CGUGUGCUUACAAGUAGUCAGAGCCCGUUAAUGGGUGAUGGCGUGCCUUUUGUAGAAUGAACCGGCGAGUUACGAUUUGAUGCAAGGUUAAGCAGUAAAUGUGGAGCCGUAGCGAAAGCGAGUCUGAAUAGGGCGUUUAGUAUUUGGUCGUAGACCCGAAACCAGGUGAUCUACCCUUGGUCAGGUUGAAGUUCAGGUAACACUGAAUGGAGGACCGAACCGACUUACGUUGAAAAGUGAGCGGAUGAACUGAGGGUAGCGGAGAAAUUCCAAUCGAACCUGGAGAUAGCUGGUUCUCUCCGAAAUAGCUUUAGGGCUAGCCUCAAGUGAUGAUUAUUGGAGGUAGAGCACUGUUUGGACGAGGGGCCCCUCUCGGGUUACCGAAUUCAGACAAACUCCGAAUGCCAAUUAAUUUAACUUGGGAGUCAGAACAUGGGUGAUAAGGUCCGUGUUCGAAAGGGAAACAGCCCAGACCACCAGCUAAGGUCCCAAAAUAUAUGUUAAGUGGAAAAGGAUGUGGCGUUGCCCAGACAACUAGGAUGUUGGCUUAGAAGCAGCCAUCAUUUAAAGAGUGCGUAAUAGCUCACUAGUCGAGUGACACUGCGCCGAAAAUGUACCGGGGCUAAACAUAUUACCGAAGCUGUGGAUUGUCCUUUGGACAAUGGUAGGAGAGCGUUCUAAGGGCGUUGAAGCAUGAUCGUAAGGACAUGUGGAGCGCUUAGAAGUGAGAAUGCCGGUGUG